CACGAACCGUACGAACGUUAUUCGGAAUUACUGGGCUUAAAGGGUUUGUAGGCGGCCAUGUAAGUGGGGUGUGAAAGCCCUCGGCUCAACCGAGGAAUAGCGCUCCAAACUGUAUGGCUUGAGGGAGACAGGGGUAAGCGGAACUGAUGGUGGAGCGGUGAAAUGCGUUGAUAUCGUCAGGAACACCGGUGGCGAAAGCGGCUUACUGGGUCUCUUCUGACGCUGAGAAACGAAAGCUAGGGUAGCGAACGGG
RNAcentral lists this ribosomal RNA (253 nucleotides) under uncultured bacterium. Its description in RNAcentral is "partial 16S ribosomal RNA". It matches the Rfam family "Bacterial small subunit ribosomal RNA", at positions 524 to 776 of the family's 1533-position model. The record is from RNAcentral.